This 253-nucleotide ribosomal RNA is filed under the name uncultured bacterium. Its description in RNAcentral is "partial 16S ribosomal RNA". It matches the Rfam family "Bacterial small subunit ribosomal RNA", at positions 524 to 775 of the family's 1533-position model. The record is from RNAcentral.
UACGUAGGGGGCGAGCGUUGUCCGAAGUUACUGGGCGUAAAGAGCGCGUAGGCGGGUCUUUAAGUGAGGGGUGAAAGGUUCAGGGCUCAACCCGGACACUGCCUUUCAUACUGGGGACCUUGAGUGCGGGAGAGGCGAGUGGAAUGGCUGGUGUAGCGGUGAAAUGCGUAGAUAUCAGUCGGAACACCCAUGGCGAAGGCAGCUCGCUGGCCUGCAACUGACGCUGAGGCGCGAAAGCGUGGGGAGCAAACAG